RNAcentral lists this ribosomal RNA (754 nucleotides) under Galerina fallax. RNAcentral's name for it is "partial large subunit ribosomal RNA". It matches the Rfam family "Eukaryotic large subunit ribosomal RNA", at positions 78 to 817 of the family's 3401-position model. The record is from RNAcentral. Lineage: Eukaryota; Fungi; Basidiomycota; Agaricomycetes; Agaricales; Galerinaceae. RNAcentral also lists the same sequence under 1 other name.
CCCUAGUAACUGCGAGUGAAGCGGGAAAAGCUCAAAUUUAAAAGCUGGCGGUCUUAGGCUGUCCGCGUUGUAAUCUAGAGAAGCAUUAUCCGCGCUGGACCGUGUACAAGUCUCCUGGAAUGGAGCGUCAUAGAGGGUGAGAAUCCCGUCUUUGACACGGACUGCCAGGGCUUUGUGAUGUGCUCUCAAAGAGUCGAGUUGUUUGGGAAUGCAGCUCAAAAUGGGUGGUAAAUUCCAUCUAAAGCUAAAUAUUGGCGAGAGACCGAUAGCGAACAAGUACCGUGAGGGAAAGAUGAAAAGAACUUUGGAAAGAGAGUUAAACAGUACGUGAAAUUGCUGAAAGGGAAACGCUUGAAGUCAGUCGUGUUGGCCGGGGAUCAACCUUGCUUUUGCUGGGCGUACUCUCCGGUUGAUGGGCCAGCAUCAAUUUUGGCCACUGGAAAAAGGCCAGGGGAAUGUGGCAUCUUCGGAUGUGUUAUAGCCCUUGGUUGCAUACAGUGGCUGGGAUUGAGGAACUCAGCACGCCGCAAGGCCGGGUAUUUUAUCCACGUUCGUGCUUAGGAUGCUGGCAUAAUGGCUUUAAUCGACCCGUCUUGAAACACGGACCAAGGAGUCUAACAUGCCUGCGAGUGUUUGGGUGGAAAACCCGAGCGCGUAAUGAAAGUGAAAAUUGAGAUCCCUGUCGCGGGGAGCAUCGACGCCCGGACCAGAGCUUUUGUGACGGAUCUGCGGUAGAGCAUGUAUGUUGGGACCC